UGAGGAAUAUUGGUCAAUGGGCGGCAGCCUGAACCAGCCAUCCCGCGUGAAGGAAGAAUGCGCUAUGCGUUGUAAACUUCUUUUUCAGGGGGAUAAAAUUCUGUAUGUAUACAGGACUGAAGGUACCCUGAGAAUAAGCAUCGGCUAACUCCGUGCCAGCAGCCGCGGUAAUACGGAGGAUGCGAGCGUUAUCCGGAUUUAUUGGGUUUAAAGGGUGCGUAGGCGGAAUAAUAAGUCAGUGGUGAAACCCUGCAGCUUAACUGUAGACUUGCCAUUGAUACUGUUUUUCUUGAGUAUGGUCAAGGCAGGCGGAAUGUGUAAUGUAGCGGUGAAAUGCUUAGAUAUUACACAGAACACCGAUAGCGAAGGCAGCUUGCUGGGCCGUUACUGACGCUGAUGCACGAAAGCGUGGGGAUCGAACAG
Molecule: ribosomal RNA, 423 nt
Filed under: uncultured bacterium
Lineage: Bacteria
Description: bacterial SSU rRNA
Rfam family: Bacterial small subunit ribosomal RNA
Source: RNAcentral